Molecule: small nuclear RNA, 108 nt
Organism: Zalophus californianus (California sea lion)
Lineage: Eukaryota; Metazoa; Chordata; Mammalia; Carnivora; Otariidae
Source: Ensembl
GUGCUCUCUUUGACAGCUCAUACACUACAAUUGGAACAAUACAGAGAAGAUUAACAUGGCCCUUGCACAAAGGAUGACACACAAAUUUGUGAAGCGUUCCAUAUAUUU